AGAACGAACGCUGGCGGCAUGCCUAAUACAUGCAAGUCGAACGAACUCUUCGGAGUUAGUGGCGCACGGGUGCGUAACGCGUGGGAAUCUGCCCCUUGGUUCGGAAUAACAGUUGGAAACGACUGCUAAUACCGGAUGAUAUCGAAAGAUCAAAGAUUUAUCGCCCAGGGAUGAGCCCGCGUAGGAUUAGCUAGUUGGUGAGGUAAAGGCUCACCAAGGCGACGAUCCUUAGCUGGUCUGAGAGGAUGAUCAGCCACACUGGGACUGAGACACGGCCCAGACCUCCUACGGGAGCAGCAGUAGGGAAUAUUGGACAAUGGGGCGCAAAGCC
RNAcentral lists this ribosomal RNA (331 nucleotides) under uncultured soil bacterium. RNAcentral's name for it is "bacterial SSU rRNA". It matches the Rfam family "Bacterial small subunit ribosomal RNA", at positions 26 to 383 of the family's 1533-position model. The record is from RNAcentral.